This 85-nucleotide transfer RNA is filed under the name bacterium. Its description in RNAcentral is "tRNA-Leu". It matches the Rfam family "tRNA". From Rfam's summary of the family: Transfer RNA (tRNA) molecules are approximately 80 nucleotides in length. The record is from RNAcentral.
GCCGAGGUGGUGAAAUUGGUAGACACGCCAGUCUUAGGAACUGGUGGGGAAACCCAUGGAGGUUCGAGUCCUCUCCCCGGCACCA